CCUGRUCCCCCCCAUUUUUUGGCGCGGGARUCYCCCCCCMMSCMYWGYGGGGGGUUGCCCCGAUUUUUUUCCCCGUGACUGACUCCCCUAGCAGCKUGUGAGAUGGCCCAGAUCGUUUACCGUGAAAAAAUUAGAGUGUUCAAAGCAGGCAGAUUUAACCAUUCUGCCACCGAAUACAUUAGCAUGGGAUAAUGGAAUAGGACCCUGUCCUCCUAUUUACGUGUUGGUUUUUGAGGACCAGGGUAAUGAUUAAUAGGGAUAGUUGGGGGCAUUAAUAUUUAAUUGUCAGAGGUGAAAUUCUUGGAUUUAUGAAAGAUUAACUUCUGCGAAAGCAUCUGCCAAGGAUGUUUUCAUUAAUCAAGAACGAAAGUUAGGGGAUCGAAGACGAUCAGAUACCGUCGUAGUCUUAACCAUAAACGAUGCCGACCAGGGMYUAGGAGWYGUUGAAUACAAAACACCCCCCUUACCCCUAUCAUUUUCCCCAAUUUUUUCMCMUAAAAUGACUCCCCCAGCAGCUUUGAGAUAUACCAGAUCGUMAGCGAGC
RNAcentral lists this ribosomal RNA (544 nucleotides) under Acanthamoeba sp. RNAcentral's name for it is "partial 18S ribosomal RNA". It matches the Rfam family "Eukaryotic small subunit ribosomal RNA", at positions 708 to 1123 of the family's 1831-position model. Lineage: Eukaryota; Discosea; Longamoebia; Acanthamoebidae. The record is from RNAcentral.